UGCUUUUCUUUUUCAACAUGGAGCCACCAGCUACUUCUAUAAAAUGCCGAAAAAUGCUUUGGAGGAAGAAAAACAAAGCCAGGAAGUCUCCUCUGUCUGACAUGUGUGUGUGUGUUUAUGUGUGAUGAGCGGGAGGGAAAUAUUGCAAUUUCUUCUUGUUGUUUUGAAAAAUAUCAAGGUCUCCGUGA
Molecule: non-coding RNA, 188 nt
Organism: Ornithorhynchus anatinus (platypus)
Lineage: Eukaryota; Metazoa; Chordata; Mammalia; Monotremata; Ornithorhynchidae
Source: Rfam